RNAcentral lists this long non-coding RNA (422 nucleotides) under Monodelphis domestica (gray short-tailed opossum). RNAcentral's name for it is "lncRNA (ENSMODG00000034693.2)". The record is from RNAcentral. Lineage: Eukaryota; Metazoa; Chordata; Mammalia; Didelphimorphia; Didelphidae.
ACUUUAAUAGGUCACAGUAUUAAAGGAAGAUGGAGUCUUUUUUAAAGUUAGAAUCAGUGUUUGCUAAAUGUAAUCCAAUACACUGAGCCUGAUCUUGCCAGGUAAAUGAGAUGCUCCUGAGAUAAGUAGGGAUUCUAUGGAUACCAGCUGAGCUUGAUUUUGGCUCUCUGAAAUUGAAUGGACUGUGGGAAAACAGACAUCUUCUCUAGUUCCAAUCUGCACAUUGUAAAGAUCAGAACUAAAGACAACAACUACAUUAAAAGGAAUAAAGAAAUGAGUAGCCUCCUGUGCAGAAGCAAAGUUCAAGGCUACAGUUGAGAUGUAUAUUAGUCACAUCUCAAUCACCUUCAUUAUGGUAUCAAUGGAUGAAAAGUACCCAGAAAAGGGGGACACCGUAUGAAGGAGACACCAACAAAGUCAUA